Non-coding RNA from Oryza sativa Japonica Group (Japanese rice), 6585 nucleotides. The record is from RefSeq and is a predicted model, not a curated record. NCBI's taxonomy places the organism in Eukaryota, Viridiplantae, Streptophyta, Magnoliopsida, Poales, Poaceae.
AAUACCCUCACUUAUCCCUUUACUCUCUCACCCUUAUCCAUUCACUCUCUCCUUCUCACCCUCGGCGGUGGCAGUGGCGGGGGCUGUGGCGGCGAACCUCACCCUCGGCGGCGCGGCGCCCUCCAGGUACGGCGGCGAGGAGGCAGUGGGUGUGGUGCGGCGGUGUGUGGCGGCGGCAAUACAGUGGCGAGGAGGGCUCGACGGAGCGCGGCGGUGCGGCGGCUCGACGCGGCGAUGAGGAGGGCUGAACGGCGUGCGGCAGCGAGGAGGAGGUGAGCGGCGGCGGUGGCAUAUCCAUCCCAACGCGGCAGCAGUGAAGAGGGGCAGCGGUGUGCGGCGGCAAGGCGGAGGUGGAGGCAGCAACGAUGGCCCAAUGCCGAGGUACACCCCUCCUCCCCCCAUCCAUCCUCUUCUUCUUCUUCCCUCCUCCACUUAGGAAAAUUUGCUCAUGUGUGUGAUGGAUUUGUCCCUUACUGUCAUGGGUGACGGAUGUGUGAAUGUGUGUGAUGGAUUUGUGAAAUAUGUUUUGUUAAUGGAGUAGUAUAGAUUUAAGCUUCACAUAAAUAUAUUUGUAAAAUGCCAUUGUAUCAUUGAUAAUAAUGCUCUAUUGGUAAUCACAGUAAAGUAUCCACAUUGUGCUUGUCAUCAUAAUUCGUCACUAGCAUGCUAGGAUAUAUAGAAAAAUGGCAAGUCUAGCAUGGUAAACCAAGUGGCAUCUGUGGACGGCUAUUAAGUACAAAAUUCUCGCUGUCAAUACCUGCAUAAAACCAUAAAAGUAAAACAUCCAAUAUAGUGGUAGGAUUUAUUUCUAACCAUUUCCACGAGUGUUAGUGUAUAUUUGUAUGCAGGAUGCAACCCACCAAAGUUGAGAUGAAAUGUACAUGAAGGAUGAGAAUAUAACUUCCAUAUCCAAGCCAUAGAGUUUUGAGCCCACAAACCCAAUAAGAUACAUUUAUCUUGAGCCAAACUUCAGUAGAACAUAUAGUGGGACCCACAUGUCAGAACACCAGAGAAGGAGCUAGGCUGGAUGGGCCAGCCAGGGUUCGGCUGAACCAGCAGCUAGCCCAACCAGCACAAUAUUUUACCAACUGAUAGUUAUCCUCAUCCUAUGACGGUUAGGAGCGUUAAUACUGGUGGAAACCGUCAUCAAGAGGACACAUGGCAAAAGGAGAAGUUAAGAAGAUGCUCUUAGGAUUCUAUGUUGAAUAUUUCACAGUAUCUCCACUCUCUCAACUCACCUCCACACUAUAAAUACCCCUGUCCUCUCCCUCAUUCACACACACUUGAAGCAUGAGCUGAAUUACAAGAGGCUCUAGUGUACUUUAUUGUAUAUUAGAAUAGAGAGAGAGUAAUGUAGAAGAAGUUGUCGAUGCAAAUUAAUUCUCUUCUUACCUUUUUUAUCUUGUUAAUUACUCUGCAUUAAUUGAAUAUCAUUAUAAGUAAUUAAAAUUUACUCUGUGAGAAUUAUCUCUUGGUUAGUUCCUAAUUAGCGUGCGGGAUCAUCGUUCACUAUAGUCUAUUAUAAUAUAGAUUACUUUAGUGAGUUAUAAACACUACAGUAGCUAUUAAUUGCUUAGAUGCGGUGUCUAAGUAGUUGAUUUAUGGUGUUUGCUCCGUAUCCCACAGUAGGUGUAAGGUGGGUGUAGAGGUGGGUGUAAGUCCUCCCUGUCCGGGUACGUAAUAGAGCGAUAUCUGGGAGCAGCAAGCUGGCCAGUGCCCGAAGUAUCGCGUUAGGAUUAAGUUAAGCUUUCCGUAGACAUUGUUUCUCACCGGUGAAUCCUCUCUAUCCUUUGCCUAUCAUUAGCUUCGUGUCCUUGGACAAACCUGGUAAAGAGCUGACACACACGUUCCCUGUGGAAAUCAAUACCUGAGAAUACUCCUGGCUGAAGUGCUACAUCAGUAUUUUCCGUGCGCUUGCGGAUUUUAUUUGUAAAGUUAAGAAAUACCAACAGCAUCCAAGAUAAAUGGUAAAUGCAACUGUUAGCACUAUCCUGAUCCUAAUUUCUUAUAUACUUUAAUCGAAAAUAAAAUUUCUGAACACCCAUAACUUGCUGCACUGGACCUAGGCUUCAAGAUCACCUCUACAGGGUAUUUAUGUUGCUCAUUAAGUAACUAAUUAUAUAUUUUUAGUGUCUAAUAACACCGAACCAGCUGUUUGGAUUACCCAGUUGUAUAAACCAUGAUUACCCAUACAUGUGAACAUUUUACAACUAUAGAAUAUGGAAGUUGUAUGAGGAUGUAAUUAUGUGUGUGAAUGUAUGAUGGAUUUGUGCAUGUGUGUGAUGGAUUUGUCCCUUACUGUCAUGGGUGAUGGAUUUAGACAUGCCACAAUGUGUUGGAAAAUCUGCAGUAUGGCACUAAGACACAUUGGCACAUAUAUGGCACACUAAGACCAAAUAUGUGCUUGUUGCACUUGUUACUCCAUUUCCAAUGUCUAAGGACAUUUCAGUCAUGUUACUGUAUAUUUUGUGCUGCUACUGCUGCUGCUGCUAAAAUAUAUUUUGUGUUGCUGCUGCUGCUGAUAUAUUUGGUACUUUCCUAUAUCAGUUUAUUUCCACAAUCCAUCAUUGGGUUGAAAUGUACUUUUCUACUUUCCUGCUGCUGUUGAUAUAUUUAUGCAUUGCCCAUGUGAAUAUAACUUGUUGCUCGAUGAUGAAAUUCAUAUGGUGGGAGAUUAUGUGUGGAAGUAUUUCAUUUAUUUGUGUGAUUUGUGAAUUGUGCUGGGUUAGGGUAUAAAACCGGCACCUAUCUCCUACUACUUAAUUACUCGGCCUGCCACCUACCCACUGGCCACUUCACCCUCUCUCUCUUAUCCACACACUCUCCCUCACUCUCUUUUGGUCACUAUUUUUGAAUUGCCCUUUAUUCUCGUCUCUGUUUAUACUGCCACACAUAAUCGAUGACGACCUAGUACACCAUGGCAUGGAGGCCAUUAAGUUGGCAACCUGCCAUCUGAGAGCAAAUAUGUUCCUGUUUUGUGCUUGUAACAGUUCUGAGAGCACAAAAUAUCUUACACCUUUAGACCAUGUUAUUUUUCAACAUUAGUAAUGUUAUUAUGCUUGAUGAUGACUAGACGGAACACAAAGAAUUUGCCAGCUCCAGAUCUGAGGGUGAACAUCAUGCCAGCCCUAGCACGUUCUUAAACUUAAAUCAAGAGCAUUCCGAAGGCGGAGAGGUGAUUUCGACGUAUAUUUCACGCAAUAGUGCAUUAGCAAAUUCCGACUCUAAUGGACCAUUCGAACUAAUCAAAUUUGCAAUUUCCAAGGAGGUUGACACUUCCACUGGCAGUUCAGGCCAGAAUUCAACUGUCUCAUCUAGCCUAGGGGUCCUAGCUUGAUGCCGGAUGGUCACUACGUUGUGACAGUGCUCAUGAAACUGGGUGGCCACACGUACCAUCGACGGUGAUGACCCCCUAUGGUAGGGCGUGUGGAUGUAUCGUCAAGGAUUUCAUUCCCAUCAAGUACAGACAUUGGAAUGAAAUGAUGUAACACAACUCGACUGGAUGGUACCUGAAGGAAGAAUGCUGGCGAAAGUUGAAGUUGUCAUUCACCUUUCCAGAAGGCCAAGAAGAGCUAGCAAAGAAGGGAGCCCUAUCAAAGAUGGGCACAUUAUUUAGAGAGUGGUGGACUGACUUGAACGUGGACUUCGUCCAAUGCAACCGAACCCCGGAUUUUGAGAAACCCAUGUAUCAAAAGUUGGCAGAUUAUUGGGAUGAGUUUGUGAGCUAGAAAACAUCUGAGGAGGCAAGAGAAGUGAGCGCCCUAAACAAGGACAACUUCAUGUUGAACACGUAUCCACACCGACUUGGCCCGAGCGGAUAUGCUAAGAAUAUCCCCAAAUGGGAAGAGAAGGUGGAACAACUACAUCAAGCAGGUAUAGUUCUCGAGACAGAUGCAUGGGGGACCCGGACAAAGCACUACAUGUACGCCAGGAAGGCUCAACUAUCGGAUCAGGAGAGUUGGUUGCUCUGGGACCUCAUCAGCAAGAGCUAAAAGAAAAGAUCACUGAGGCCAUUUCCCUGGCAAGACAGGGUAAAUUUGUGCCAGUAAGAGAGAAAGAUGAGAUCACAGUGGCACUGGGGACGAAAGAGCACCCUGGACGCAUGAGAGGCGUUGGUUCCGUUCCAUGGAAGGAAGGGUUCCCGGAUGAUACACACAUGUAUCGGGCCCGUUCAAGAAGACCCACGAGAGAAGAGGAGGCCGGACGUAUGAGAUUAGAGGUGGCCUAUCAGGUAAAGGCACAACAUGCAGUGUUGUUUCCCGAUGGGGUACUAGGACGACAGGGGCAAGUUGGUGACCAACUGGUUAGCCCGGGUGGGAAACGGAGCAGUUGCGCAUCCGCGGAUAAUCCCCCUCCAGAACAGCACACCACGCAUUACGUUGUUUUUUUAGGGGAACACAUGUUACGUUGUGGACGACAUAACAACACAUACUCCGUGCGUGCUCCAUGUCCCUCUUCAGAGCAACAUUACUCAGGAGAUUGCACGCAAUGUGGCACAUCCAAUAUGUGCAGGGCAAACAAUACACGGUGUUCCAUUGCCUGCAGACCACUCAAGGGUUGAAGUGGAAGACGUGCCAAGCCAGUAUAGAUGUUAUGUGCUACAAUUUCCUCUAGAGGAAGGGGUUGACACUCUGAGCGCUGCUCUUCACAACCUGAUCGUAUGGCCCAAACGCUACAUCGUUAUCACAAACGAUGGGGCAGGGGAUCCAAGCGCCGAUGAUUCCAGCCUUUCAAACGGACGAGGUCAUUCUUCGCCUCGACAGAGGUCCCCUAGUCUACCUCCUCGUCAGAAGACCCCAAAUCAACCACAACCUUCGCAGAAGUCUCCGAGUACAGGCCCAAUUAGGAAAAAGACCCCAACACCAAGUGCGUCGCAAAUGUCUGGUUCAUCAAGCAUGGAGCGACUCCCACAUUCCAAGUCGAAAUUAGUGCCAAAUCCGACAACUUCGCUACCGAAAAAGGUGAGCGGUAGCAUCACUUCGCUUCUUGGCCCCAAGAAGCCUGAGGAACGAAAGAUUCCAAUUCCUAAGAAAGUGAUCGAGCAUUUCAUCAAAUGCGCACAGCCAAGGCUACCUCCAAAACCUAUAUCGGACUUCCGUAGAACACUUGAGAAAAGUGAAAUGCAGUCUCGAUCUAGGGAGUUGUUCCUUGACAAGAAAGCGUCUGAUGAGGCUGCUUUCUGUAAGUCAGUCGAUUUGAAAAGCCUAGACGAUAUUGAUAACCUUGACAAGGCUGAGGUGGUACUCAGUUCCAACAUGGAUGACCCAUGGUGCUCGACUCAGAAAUUGAAUGGUUAGGAACUCAAGCGCAUUGGCUGCAUCAAUGGUAUUUGGAGGAGGCCGCAAAGGGUCAUGAAAUGAUCGGUGCCUACUACACCGACAUUGAUUUUCACCAUGACCCCAAUAUAUGUUAUGUAUAAUUUAAGGAGCUCUUCAACUUGUACCAUAAAAAGGAACUCGAUAUCAGCCUCCUCCAAAUGUGGUCAUUGCGCUGCUCUUAUCAAUGUAGAAGUCUUGACCGUAAGAUUGCAUUUCUAGAUCCAGCGGUUGUGAACUUCAACAAUCAGUUGUCCAAAGAAAAAGAAAUUGACGACUAUCUCUUCAAUGCCCUCGUUAAGCAAAAUGGUUAUGACCAUAUUCUCCUGCCUUACCUAUCUCACCAUCAUUGGAUCCUCUUCGUAAUCAAUAUCGACGACAGUAAGAUUUGUGUAUAUGAUAGCUUGAGGAAAGGGACAGACAAUUACCAAACUAUUAUGAAUGCACUAAAUAGGGCAUAUGUGAAGUACCGUAGGUCCAAAAGAACGUAUGGGAGAUGUGCGAUCGAUGCAACAUCAUUCCGGAUCUUUGAAAAUCAAUAUAUUUAUAGACAACCAGCGCUUACCAACCUCUGCGGGAUGUACGUCAUGUGGUACAUGCUAUGUUUUGUAGAGUCUGGGCACCUUCUUCCCCGUAAUGCUGAGAAGUUGGGUCUUGAAACAAGCGAAAUGCUGCCACACGUCUUCACAGCUCUCACCGACUAGUUUUGCGGGCCUGUCCAUACUCAUGUCAUAGAUCCAAAUGGCACUUACAAUGUCAACAAGCUCCCACAACAAAGUGCAAUCCUCUGCUCCUACCCCUCAGGACCAAAAAGUGAAGAAAUCAACUACUAAGAAGAGAAAAACCAGGUAGGUAGAUUUGUGUGAAAAAUUGUAGUUACUUAGUGCUUAUGCAUGAAUUAUGGAUGUGACACGUCCUAGUACAAUGAAUCUGGACAGACCGUGUGUCCAGAUUCAUUAUACUAGGAUUUGUUACAUCCACCCAAAAUCCCUUAUGUUAUGGGACAGAGGGAGUAUGUACAAAUGUUUUGGAUUUGGACUUACAAUAUAUAUGUAAAUGUUUAGAGCAUCUGAGAUGUUGUAGAGCUCUAGCGAUUUAGUCAAGUUUCCUGGGAUGUGUAACACAUCUGGUCGCCACCUUCGUGUGGUUUGAUGAGCACAUCUCAGGCUGAAGUUGACUGGCACGCUGAGUCCCAACAAUAUCUCAUUUGCUCUUUACUCGAGGAUAUGAAUGUGAAUUAUAUGCAAAUGUCUAGAAUUUACACUUAUAA